Hyla sarda is the source of this 93-nucleotide small nucleolar RNA. RefSeq annotates it as Z30 small nucleolar RNA. The transcript has a single exon. The record is from RefSeq and is a predicted model, not a curated record. Lineage: Eukaryota; Metazoa; Chordata; Amphibia; Anura; Hylidae.
AGCUGUGAUGAGUAAGAAAUAAUAUGACCUGGUAUUGCAAGAGUUAAAUCUGCAUUGACCAGUAAAUGAUCACGUAAUCUUCUCUCUGAGCUG